RNAcentral lists this ribosomal RNA (492 nucleotides) under uncultured bacterium. RNAcentral's name for it is "partial 16S ribosomal RNA". It matches the Rfam family "Bacterial small subunit ribosomal RNA", at positions 29 to 507 of the family's 1533-position model. The record is from RNAcentral.
AGUGAACGCUGGCGGUAGGCCUAACACAUGCAAGUCGAACGGCAGCACAGUAAGAGCUUGCUCUUACGGGUGGCGAGUGGCGGACGGGUGAGGCAUACAUCGGAAUCUACUUUUUCGUGGGGGAUAACGUAGGGAAACUUACGCUAAUACCGCAUACGACCUACGGGUGAAAGCAGGGGAUCUUCGGACCUUGCGCGAUUGAAUGAGCCGAUGUCGGAUUAGCUAGUUGGCGGGGUAAAGGCCCACCAAGGCGACGAUCCGUAGCUGGUCUGAGAGGAUGAUCAGCCACACUGGAACUGAGACACGGUCCAGACUCCUACGGGAGGCAGCAGUGGGGAAUAUUGGACAAUGGGCGCAAGCCUGAUCCAGCCAUCCCGCGUGGGUGAAGAAGGCCUUCGGGUUGUAAAGCCCUUUUGUUUGGAAAGAAAAGCAGCAGGUUAAUACCCCGCUGUUCUGACGGUACCCAAAGAAUAAGCACCGGCUAACUUCGUG